GAACGCUGGCGGCGUGCCUAAUACAUGCAAGUCGAGCGGACAGAAGGGAGCUUGCUCCCGGAUGUUAGCGGCGGACGGGUGAGUAACACGUGGGUAACCUGCCUGUAAGACUGGGAUAACUCCGGGAAACCGGAGCUAAUACCGGAUAGUUCCUUGAACCGCAUGGUUCAAGGAUGAAAGACGGUUUCGGCUGUCACUUACAGAUGGACCCGCGGCGCAUUAGCUAGUUGGUGGGGUAAUGGCUCACCAAGGCGACGAUGCGUAGCCGACCUGAGAGGGUGAUCGGCCACACUGGGACUGAGACACGGCCCAGACUCCUACGGGAGGCAGCAGUAGGGAAUCUUCCGCAAUGGACGAAAGUCUGACGGAGCAACGCCGCGUGAGUGAUGAAGGUUUUCGGAUCGUAAAGCUCUGUUGUUAGGGAAGAACAAGUGCGAGAGUAACUGCUCGCACCUUGACGGUACCUAACCAGAAAGCCACGGCUAACUACGUGCCAGCAGCCGCGGUAAUACGUAGGUGGCAAGCGUUGUCCGGAAUUAUUGGGCGUAAAGGGCUCGCAGGCGGUUUCUUAAGUCUGAUGUGAAACCCCCGGCUCAACCGGGGAGGGUCAUUGGAAACUGGGAAACUUGAUGC
RNAcentral lists this ribosomal RNA (633 nucleotides) under Bacillus pumilus. RNAcentral describes it as "bacterial SSU rRNA". It matches the Rfam family "Bacterial small subunit ribosomal RNA", at positions 31 to 648 of the family's 1533-position model. Lineage: Bacteria; Bacillati; Bacillota; Bacilli; Caryophanales; Bacillaceae. The record is from RNAcentral.